RNAcentral lists this long non-coding RNA (3922 nucleotides) under Ananas comosus (pineapple). Its description in RNAcentral is "long non-coding RNA (ACOM_LNC003241)". The record is from RNAcentral. Lineage: Eukaryota; Viridiplantae; Streptophyta; Magnoliopsida; Poales; Bromeliaceae.
UUUUUUGCCUUGUCUUUUUCCUUUUCUUCCUUGGAGGGUUGUGGGACCGCAUACAUUUUUAUUAAGAAUUAUUUACAUCAUUGGUUCCCAACCUUUGUACUAUUUUUUAUUUUUGUCUCUAAUAUUUUUUUUGCAAUCAAAUUUCCGACCUCUUGAUUUCAUUGCGAUUACAUUCCAGCAGUUAAAAGAGGUGUUAAAUUAAACGAAAUUGCCAUGCUACUUAGAUUUUUUUUUGCAUGUCAAUUUUGGUGCCUAAACUUUAUAUAUUUUUCACUUUAGUCCUCAAAAAUAAAAAUUUAAAUUUUGAAUUUAAACUCAAAAUUAAUAAUAAAAUUAAAAUUUACUUUAUAAAUACGCUAAUUGGAACCUAAUGAAGGCCUUCCCUUAUUUUGGGGGGUUGUGGGGCCCACAAAUUUUUUUAGAAUAUUUUUAGGAUUAAUUGCAUAGUGCUCCCCAAACAUUCCACCAUUUUUUAUUUUGGUUCCUUUUUUUUUUGCAAUUAAGUUUUCAAACCUCUUAAUUUAUUGCGAUAAAAUAGCAACCGCUAAAAAAUAUUUAGAAUUAACGAAAUUAUCAUGCCAUUGCUUAUUUAACUUCUUUUGCAUGCCAAUUUUGAUUCUUAAAUUUUGCAUGAUUUUCACUUUAGUCCCCAAAACAUAUAUGAAUUGGCAAUCCUAAAGAAAGCCUCUCCUUAUUUUGGAGGGUUGUGGAGCCCACAAUUCUUUUAAGGAUUAAAUUAUAUAAUAAUAUAAUAAUAAUAUUAGAAUAUUUAUUUGGUAGUUGAAUCUUUUUGCGGUGUAAAAAAUAUCAAUUUUGAUUUCGAAUGCCUUUUGAUUAGUUUUAUUUUUUGUGCUUCUAAUAAUUACCUACUGAUUUCUUCAGUAAUGUAAAAUUUAGGAAUCGAAUACUUUAUUAGUUGUAUAUGUGACGAUAAAAGUUAAUGAGAGCACAACGAAGACGUUGCCGCCAAGAAUACCAAAGAUAGUACUUUUCACUCCAAUUAACUUUUUAAUAUUUUUUUAUUUCUAAAAUCUACCUUGAUGAUAAUACAAAAAUAUUAUUCAUCUUUCUUAAUACUGUAAUGAGCUUUUUUUUUAUUUUAAACUGAUUUUAUUCAUUUUACUUAUUAGAUUUAAAUGUUUUAAGAAAGAAAUAUAUUUUAAUUUCAUUCUUUAAUUUUUAAUUUUUCAAUACUGAGAUCAAUGAUAUUUAAAAAUAUUAAUGCAUGAUAGGAAAAAAAGUUAAUGUUAAUAGUUAUAAUAAUUUACUAUUGUAUUGUCUUCCCGCCGUAUCGCGCGGGGCUCCUUAACUAGUGGAUAAUUAUUCUUUAUAAACGCCUUUUUGAAAUAACCCUUAAAAAUUACUCUUUUUUUAUUUAGCAUCUCCUUAAUUUUUAUUUAUUUUAUUUUAAGUAAAAUUUUCAAUAAAUAAAUUAGGACUAUAUGCGAAGUGUUCGCAUCCUCCAUUCUAUGAUGAUAUAGUGUUUUAGAAAUGUAAGACCCCGGGUAGUCUUAUAUAUAAAAUAUAAUAGGAAAAAACUCUUAACCCAGCUUAAGCAUUUUGGGUGGUGGCUAGGCCUAAGAGAUUAAGAGAGUUAAGCGUGCUAGGACUCGAGUAGUCCUAGGAUGGGUGACCCCUUGGGAAGCUGGGGCGUCACAGAUGAUAUCAGAGCCAAUUACCAACCGAAAGUGUGAGAUCAGUCUCGGCUGAGCCAUGAUUGGAAAGCAGGAAGUAGGGGUGGAAACGAGCCGAGCUCGAGCGAGCUUACCUCUGCUCAAGCUUGGCUUGAAAUUAAUUUCGAGUCUAAAUUUAGGCUCAAGCUUGGCUUGAAAUUAAUUUGAGCCGAGCUUGAGCGAGCCUAACUUUGAGUCGAGUGAGCCCGAGCCCUAAACGAGCUGCUUAAAAUUCUUAACAUCGUGCAAUCUCUAGUUUAAUUUUUAUAAAAUAUUAUCUAAAGUUUGAUAUAAAAAAUAUCUAAUAGUUUACGUACGAAAUGAAUGCAUGAAAUACGAUAUUAUAAUACUAAAAAAUUUAGGAAAAACCACUCUGUGGGGAAGUGAAAAAGAGAGAAAGAGAGCAAUUAGAGUAGGAUUUUGCUGGUUUGAUUUUGUGGGCCCAAUAAUCUAAAUUCUAUAUACAUAUAAUUAAAAUACAUAAUAUAUAUUUUUUAUAUAUUAAAAUAUAUAGUAUAUAUAAUUAUAUUUAGAGAGAGUUUGGCUACUAUAUAUACUUUUAUGAGUAUAAACUCCUUUAUACUCAUAAGUUUUUGAUCCGUUAGAUCUAUCCUUUUGCCCAUUUCCAUCCGUUAAAUCAUACUAUUCAACGAACCGCCCACUGAAUCUUAGGAGACCACUAUCAUUCUAAUCACACAUUCAACGGCUGAAAAUUUAUGGUAUCAUUUGGUUCGAGGAUAAGGAAAAAGUGGCUAUUCCAGGGAUAGGUAUAAAUUGAGGUAUAAGCAGGGAUUACAUCAAUUUUGCGUUUGGAUGAAAAUUGGGUUAUUCCUGGGAAUAAAAAAAAUAGCAUUUGGUUAGGUAAGAUGGAAUAAGAAAGAUAGUGGGUUUUAUAGAAAAAAAUAAUCAUAUUAUCCUCUUAUUAUAUUUGAAUUUAAAUUUUUAAAAUUUUAAAUAUAUAUUUUUAAAUUAAAAAUUUUAACUUUGAAAUUUCAAAUUUUGAAAUUUAAAAUCUCAAAUUUUAAAUUCAAAAUUUUAAAUUUUAAAUUUUAAACUUUAAAUUUAAGAUCAAAUUUAAAUUUGAAAAAUAUAAAAUAUAAAAUUUUAAAUUUCAAAAUUAAAAUAUAAAAAUUUAAUUUUAAAAUUUAAAAUUUAAAAUUAUAAACUUUAAUUUUGAGAUUAUAAAUUAUAAAUUUUAACAAUUUAAAUUUUUAAUUUUUAAAAUUUUAAAAUAAGAAUAGGGGUGGGAACAAUUAAUAAAAACUAUUUAUUAUAAUAAAUUUAUAAAUUUUUUUAAAAUUCUACUUAAACUUAAAUUUAAUAAAAAGAAUUUAUUAUAAUAUUUAAAUAUAAUUUACUAUAAAUUUUAUUAUAAUAUUUAAAUAUAAAUAAUAAUUAUUAAUAUAGUACAAUUAAUAAUUUUAUAAUAAAAAUAAUGUAUUAUAAUAUAUAAAUUUUAAAAAAUUAAAUUUUUAAUUUUUAAAUUUUUAAAAUAAGAAUAGGGGUGGGAACAAUUAAUAAAAAUAAUUUAUUAUAAUAAAUUUAUAAAUUUUUUUAAAAUUCUACUUAAACUUAAAUUUAAUAAAAAGAAUUUAUUAUAAUAUUUAAAUAUAAUUUACUAUAAAUUUUAUUAUAAUAUUUAAAUAUAAAUAAUAAUUAUUAAUAUAGUACAAUUAAUAAUUUUAUAAUAAAAAUAAUGUAUUAUAAUAUAUAACAUAUUAUAUUUAUAUAAUUUAGUUUUAAUUCAAUUUAUAAUUUUAAUUAAGUUUGAAAUUAAGCAUUGGAAUAGUGCUAUUCCACCAAAAUGGUGGAAUAGCAAAUCCCUUGCUAUUCCGGGAUAACUGGGAAUAGCAAGGUUUGACCGGGAUAAAAUAUCCCAGCCAAAUUUCACCCUGUUUGGCGGAAUAGCGGGGAUAACUUUCGUUAUCCCCGCUUAUUCCCCCAACCAAACGAGGCCUAUAAGUAUAAAAAGAUCUAUACUUAUCAGAGUAUAGUAACCCGAGCCAAUAUAUAUAUAGAAUUAGGCUACUAUACUAUUAAUAGUACAAAUCGCUUGCUAUUAGGUUUUCGGCCCUUGGAUGAAGGGAUAUGCGGUCAAAAUGAUGGUAACCCCCUAGGGUUGAGUGGGUGGCUAGUUGAAUAGUAUGAUCUAACGAAUGAAAAUCGCCAAAGGGAUAGAUCUAACAGCAGAAAAUUCGAUUGCACCAAAUGCUUGGUACUAUCGAUAAUAUAAUAGCCGAACUCUAUAU